Molecule: ribosomal RNA, 1005 nt
Filed under: uncultured bacterium
Lineage: Bacteria
Description: bacterial SSU rRNA
Rfam family: Bacterial small subunit ribosomal RNA
Source: RNAcentral
AGAGUUUGAUCAUGGCUCAGAAUCGACGCUGGCGGCGCGCUUAACACAUGCAAGUCGCACGAGAAAGUGGAGCAAUCCAUGAGUACAGUGGCGUACGGGUGAGUAACACGUGGAUCAUCUACCUCUUAGUGGGGAAUAACCCUGGGAAACCGGGGCUAAUACCGCAUAAUCUCGAGAGAGGAAAGCAGCAAUGCGCUGAGAGAGGAGUCCGCGGCCGAUUAGCUAGUUGGUAGGGUAACGGCCUACCAAGGCAAAGAUCGGUAGCCGGCCUGAGAGGGCACACGGCCACACUGGCACUGAAACACGGGCCAGACUCCUACGGGAGGCAGCAGUGGGGAAUCUUGCACAAUGGGGGCAACCCUGAUGCAGCGACGCCGCGUGAGCGAUGAAGCCCUUCGGGGUGUAAAGCUCUUUCGGCAGGGAAGAUUAUGACGGUACCUGCAGAAGCAGCUGCGGCUAACUACGUGCCAGCAGCCGCGGUAAUACGUAGGCAGCGAGCGUUGUUCGGAGUUACUGGGCGUAAAGGGUGUGUAGGCGGUUGUUUAAGUUUGGUGUGAAAUCUCCCGGCUCAACUGGGAGGGUGCGCCGAAUACUGAAUGACUCGAGUGCGGGAGAGGAGAGUGGAAUUCCUGGUGUAGCGGUGAAAUGCGUAGAUAUCAGGAGGAACACCGGCGGUGUAGACGGCUCUCUGGACCGUAACUGACGCUGAGACACGAAAGCGUGGGUAGCAAACAGGAUUAGAUACCCUGGUAGUCCACGCCCUAAACGAUGCAUAUUUGGUGUGGGUCAUUCAGUUGAUCCGUGCCGGAGCUAACGCGUUAAAUAUGCCGCCUGGGGAGUACAGUCGCAAGGCUGAAACUCAAAGGAAUUGACGGGGGCCCGCACAAGCGGUGGAGCAUGUGGUUCAAUUCGACGCAACGCGAAGAACCUUACCUGGGCUCGAACGGCUGGUUAACGGCGGUGGAAACAUCGCUACCCCGCAAGGGGUCCAGUCGAGGGUGCUGC